Molecule: ribosomal RNA, 558 nt
Filed under: Aspergillus sp. FL-2015
Lineage: Eukaryota; Fungi; Ascomycota; Eurotiomycetes; Eurotiales; Aspergillaceae
Description: eukaryotic LSU rRNA
Rfam family: 5.8S ribosomal RNA (bases 188-341)
Source: RNAcentral
CAUUACCGAGUGUAGGGUUCCUAGCGAGCCCAACCUCCCACCCGUGUUUACUGUACCUUAGUUGCUUCGGCGGGCCCGCCAUUCAUGGCCGCCGGGGGCUCUCAGCCCCGGGCCCGCGCCCGCCGGAGACACCACGAACUCUGUCUGAUCUAGUGAAGUCUGAGUUGAUUGUAUCGCAAUCAGUUAAAACUUUCAACAAUGGAUCUCUUGGUUCCGGCAUCGAUGAAGAACGCAGCGAAAUGCGAUAACUAGUGUGAAUUGCAGAAUUCCGUGAAUCAUCGAGUCUUUGAACGCACAUUGCGCCCCCUGGUAUUCCGGGGGGCAUGCCUGUCCGAGCGUCAUUGCUGCCCAUCAAGCACGGCUUGUGUGUUGGGUCGUCGUCCCCUCUCCGGGGGGGACGGGCCCCAAAGGCAGCGGCGGCACCGCGUCCGAUCCUCGAGCGUAUGGGGCUUUGUCACCCGCUCUGUAGGCCCGGCCGGCGCUUGCCGAACGCAAAUCAAUCUUUUUCCAGGUUGACCUCGGAUCAGGUAGGGAUACCCGCUGAACUUAAGCAUAUCA